This 321-nucleotide RNase P RNA is filed under the name Candidatus Margulisiibacteriota bacterium. RNAcentral describes it as "RNase P RNA component class A". It matches the Rfam family "Bacterial RNase P class A". Rfam says of the family: Ribonuclease P (RNase P) is a ubiquitous endoribonuclease, found in archaea, bacteria and eukarya as well as chloroplasts and mitochondria. Lineage: Bacteria; Bacillati; Candidatus Margulisiibacteriota. The record is from RNAcentral.
UUGGCCAGUCGAGUCAUCGUCUGUAUUUAUUUACGGGAGGAAAGUCCGGACUCCAUAGAGCACUGUAGCGGGUAACGCCCGUCCGGCGCAAGCCGAGGACUAGUGGAACAGAGACGUAGUCCGUCAGGAUCCGCGAAGUUUUACUAAGCAUUCCUGACGGGGUGAAACGGCUAAACUCUACAGGGAGCAAGACCAAAUAGGCAAAGAGGAGUUGCUCGCUCCAUUUGGAUUUGCGGGUAGGUUGCUAGAGAUAAACAGUAAUGUUUGUCCAAGAUAAAUGAUGACAUAGAACAGGAUCCGGCUUACGGACUGGCCAUUAUC